Molecule: long non-coding RNA, 665 nt
Organism: Armigeres subalbatus
Lineage: Eukaryota; Metazoa; Arthropoda; Insecta; Diptera; Culicidae
Exons: 4
Source: RefSeq, a predicted model, not a curated record
AGUUACCCAUCUGCAGAGGCACAGCAUAUCCUUGCUAAGGAUAUAGUUGCACUUUUUCCGCAGCUGAGGUAUGACGAGACGAAGCCGACUGGUGCACCAGAUGAGUGGAUUUUUUUCUGGCCUCAUGGAGGAUCUGAACGAGGACCUCAUAGCGGGCAGAUUUAUCACCACAUCCGAAAUGCCAUCAAACGAUUGCCUGAUGGAAUGCGAAAAUUCAAACGCGCUAGAAUGGAUUCGCACACGGCUGUCGAUUCGGCAAUUGUGGCUCGCGCUCGUUCUUUGCGCUCAAUGGAAGCAGCGGAAAAGUCAUUUGUUUCUAAAGAAAUGGAAGCAUGCUUUCCACUCCAUCAGAUGUUCCUGUUCGAGAAAAAACUAUUGAUGACUUUGCGGACAUGUUUCCCUAUUUAAUCAAAUUUCAAGGCAUACUGAUUCAUCAAACUUUCUCUCGAAUUGCUCCAGCAUGUGAUCCGAGGCCAGAUUACAAAGGCGUACUGGCAAAAUGUUUGCUGUACAAUUCCCAGCGGUAUAUCAACGUAGAGGAUGAAUAUAUCCGUGCACUGCUAAGGAUCUAUGAUCAAAUGCCAGUUCGGGGAGUCCAACGGAAACUCAAUAGAUUCCCGUCUACUGAAAUGCAUGCCGUGGAACAUUUGGUUCGAAGGAUCAAG